CUAMCAUGCAAGUCGAACGGUGAAGCCCAGCUUGCUGGGUGGAUCAGUGGCGAACGGGUGAGUAACACGUGAGCAACCUGCCCCUGACUCUGGGAUAAGCGCUGGAAACGGCGUCUAAUACUGGAUAUGUGACGUGACCGCAUGGUCUGCGUCUGGAAAGAAUUUCGGUUGGGGAUGGGCUCGCGGCCUAUCAGCUUGUUGGUGAGGUAAUGGCUCACCAAGGCGUCGACGGGUAGCCGGCCUGAGAGGGUGACCGGCCACACUGGGACUGAGACACGGCCCAGACUCCUACGGGAGGCAGCAGUGGGGAAUAUUGCACAAUGGGCGCAAGCCUGAUGCAGCAACGCCGCGUGAGGGAUGACGGCCUUCGGGUUGUAAACCUCUUUUAGCAGGGAAGAAGCGAAAGUGACGGUACCUGCAGAAAAAGCGCCGGCUAACUACGUGCCAGCAGCCGCGGUAAUACGUAGGGCGCAAGCGUUAUCCGGAAUUAUUGGGCGUAAAGAGCUCGUAGGCGGUUUGUCGCGUCUGCUGUGAAAUCCGGAGGCUCAACCUCCGGCCUGCAGUGGGUACGGGCAGACUAGAGUGCGGUAGGGGAGAUUGGAAUUCCUGGUGUAGCGGUGGAAUGCGCAGAUAUCAGGAGGAACACCGAUGGCGAAGGCAGAUCUCUGGGCCGUAACUGACGCUGAGGAGCGAAAGGGMGGGGAGCAAACAGGCUUAGAUACCCUGGUAGUCCACCCCGUAAACGUUGGGAACUA
RNAcentral lists this ribosomal RNA (755 nucleotides) under Microbacterium sp. AN07. RNAcentral describes it as "bacterial SSU rRNA". It matches the Rfam family "Bacterial small subunit ribosomal RNA", at positions 50 to 818 of the family's 1533-position model. Lineage: Bacteria; Bacillati; Actinomycetota; Actinomycetes; Micrococcales; Microbacteriaceae. The record is from RNAcentral.